This 626-nucleotide ribosomal RNA is filed under the name uncultured Bacilli bacterium. Its description in RNAcentral is "bacterial SSU rRNA". It matches the Rfam family "Bacterial small subunit ribosomal RNA", at positions 95 to 709 of the family's 1533-position model. Lineage: Bacteria; Bacillati; Bacillota; Bacilli. The record is from RNAcentral.
GUUGCGAACGGGUGAGUAACGCGUAGGUAACCUGCCUCUUAGCGGGGGAUAACUAUUGGAAACGAUAGCUAAUACCGCAUAAAAGUCGAUAUCGCAUGAUAUUGAUUUGAAAGGUGCAAUUGCAUCACUAAGAGAUGGACCUGCGUUGUAUUAGCUAGUUGGUGAGGUAACGGCUCACCAAGGCGACGAUACAUAGCCGACCUGAGAGGGUGAUCGGCCACACUGGGACUGAGACACGGCCCGGACUCCUACGGGAGGCAGCAGUAGGGAAUCUUCGGCAAUGGGGGCAACCCUGACCGAGCAACGCCGCGUGAGUGAAGAAGGUUUUCGGAUCGUAAAGCUCUGUUGUAAGAGAAGAACGAGUGUGAGAGUGGAAAGUUCACACUGUGACGGUAACUUACCAGAAAGGGACGGCUAACUACGUGCCAGCAGCCGCGGUAAUACGUAGGUCCCGAGCGUUAUCCGGAUUUAUUGGGCGUAAAGCGAGCGCAGGCGGUUAGAUAAGUCUGAAGUUAAAGGCCGUGGCUUAACCAUAGUACGCUUUGGAAACUGUUUAACCUGAGUGCAGAAGGGGAGAGUGGAAUUCCAUGUGUAGCGGUGAAAUGCGUAGAUAUAUGGAGGAACAC